Scophthalmus maximus (turbot) is the source of this 72-nucleotide small nucleolar RNA. Its record names the gene SNORD58. It matches the Rfam family "Small nucleolar RNA SNORD58". Rfam says of the family: snoRNA U58 is found in introns 1, 3 and 6 of the ribosomal protein RPL17 gene in humans. The record is from Ensembl. NCBI's taxonomy places the organism in Eukaryota, Metazoa, Chordata, Actinopteri, Pleuronectiformes, Scophthalmidae.
CGGCUGUGAUGACUUCUUAGGACACCUUUAGAUUAAACAUGAAAACAAAACAGAAUAAAUGAUCUGAGCUGU